This 271-nucleotide long non-coding RNA is filed under the name Homo sapiens (human). Its description in RNAcentral is "HSALNT0043746". The record is from RNAcentral. Lineage: Eukaryota; Metazoa; Chordata; Mammalia; Primates; Hominidae.
UUCAAGUUUAUGGAACCCAUUCCUCAUCAUUAGGCUGAAGAUGCAGAUAAGAAAGGACGAGCCUUUUUCUGGAGCUUGUCACAUCAAUGUUGCUUCUUAGGUGAUUAAAAAGAAAGCAGCGAGGAUCUUGGAGAAAACGUCUGACAAAAGUUGGAAAAUCCCCACUGAAUGAAUUUUUUUGAAAAAGUAAAUGUAUCCUGGGAACAUGCCGUUCAGGAUUUUGGAAAAGGAACUUGAUAUUUUGCUGCUAAAAUUAGUUGGAGUUGGGAGG